This 433-nucleotide ribosomal RNA is filed under the name uncultured bacterium. RNAcentral's name for it is "bacterial SSU rRNA". It matches the Rfam family "Bacterial small subunit ribosomal RNA", at positions 12 to 436 of the family's 1533-position model. The record is from RNAcentral.
UUUGAUCCUGGCUCAGGACGAACGCUGGCGGUGCGCCUUAUGCAUGCAAGUCGAGCGAAGCUUUUCAGUAGUUUACUACAGAAAAUGACUGAGCGGCGAACGGGUGAGUAACGCGUGAGCAAUCUACCUUAGUUACAGGGAUAGCCCGAGGAAACUCGGAUUAAUACCUGAUAUUCUUUACAUUUCGCAUGAAAUUAAAAGGAAAGGUCAGCCGAACUAAGAUGAGCUCGCGUUCUAUCAGCUAGUUGGUGAGGUAAAAGCUCACCAAGGCUACGACGGAUAGCUGGUCUGAGAGGACGAUCAGCCACACUGGGACUGAGACACGGCCCAGACUCCUACGGGAGGCUGCAGCAGGGAAUAUUGUGCAAUGAACGAAAGUUUGACACAGCGACACCGCGUGUGGGAUGACGGAUCUAGGUUUGUAAACCACUUU